UAGGGGAGGCAGCAGUGGGGAAUAUUGCACAAUGGGCGCAAGCCUGAUGCAGCCAUGCCGCGUGUAUGAAGAAGGCCUUCGGGUUGUAAAGUACUUUCAGUCGUGAGGAAGGUGUUAAGGUUAAUAACCUUAGCAAUUGACGUUAGCGACAGAAGAAGCACCGGCUAACUCCGUGCCAGCAGCCGCGGUAAUACGGAGGGUGCGAGCGUUAAUCGGAAUUACUGGGCGUAAAGGGCACGCAGGCGGUUAAUUAAGUUGGAUGUGAAAUCCCCGGGCUUAACCUGGGAAUGGCAUUCAAGACUGGUUAGCUAGAGUCUUGUAGAGGGGGUAGAAUUCCAUGUGUAGCGGUGAAAUGCGUAGAGAUGUGGAGGAAUACCGGUGGCGAAGGCGGCCCCUGGACAAAGACUGACGCUCAUGUGCGAAAGCGUGGGGAGCAAACAGGGAUUAGAUACC
This 453-nucleotide ribosomal RNA is filed under the name uncultured bacterium. Its description in RNAcentral is "bacterial SSU rRNA". It matches the Rfam family "Bacterial small subunit ribosomal RNA", at positions 340 to 786 of the family's 1533-position model. The record is from RNAcentral.